ACCCACAGAAAAUUCAGAAGAACAUCAUAAGAUAGAGAAAGAAAAAGGAACUGAUGGAAAUAUUCAAGAAGAACACAAGUGGCCAGUGCUUGUUGGCUCUUGUGCUCGUGGCUACUGUCAUUUCGUCUUCUGAUGCGUUUGGCCCAGGUACAUGCAUCUCUGACCUAACUAUAAGUCACUAUGGUUUGCUAUGUGAUGCUAAUUUUCUAUGUAUUUCACAAUGUUGAGUUAUAUGGAUCGUUUUGCAUCUGCAUAGCUUGCCAUGCUGGUUUUUUUUUUUUGCGGAUGAUAGCUUGCCAUGCUGUUUUUUUUUUUGCGGAUGAUAGCUUGCCAUGCUGUUGUCUGGGUAUUCUUCUAAACAAUAUUGUUUUUGUGAACAUGCAGAAGGAGGAUGCUUCAUGCCUUUCGUGGAAUGCAAUCUGGACUUGUGCAAGCGUAACUGCGACGGUCUAAUUCCCUAUUGCAAACAGAUAGACGGAGUUUCUGCCCAAUGUUGUUGCUCUCCCAAGAAACUUAGUGCAUCUGUUGAUAAGAAUAACCGUCCUUGAGAUGAAUUCCUAAAUAGUAAUUUGUAUGUCAUUGAUCUUUCAUGGAUCCAAUUCCACCUGAUUGAAUAAAAUUUAUCACCAUUGAAAAAUUAUUGCUCCCGAGAUAUUUAUGUAUCUUGUGAAAUCGUAAUGCUUCAUUUGGAUGUUCAUAUUCAGACCUCGACAUUGAUAUUGAGACCAAUUCUA
This 734-nucleotide long non-coding RNA is filed under the name Triticum aestivum (bread wheat). RNAcentral describes it as "long non-coding RNA (TAES_LNC013901)". Lineage: Eukaryota; Viridiplantae; Streptophyta; Magnoliopsida; Poales; Poaceae. The record is from RNAcentral.